Arvicanthis niloticus (Nile rat) is the source of this 131-nucleotide small nucleolar RNA. RefSeq annotates it as small nucleolar RNA SNORA17. Lineage: Eukaryota; Metazoa; Chordata; Mammalia; Rodentia; Muridae. The record is from RefSeq and is a predicted model, not a curated record.
CCAUCCACCAUAGGUGUGUUGCUGGUAUGGACUCUGUGUCACAUGCAUAUCAGUAGGUGGCAGAGAGAACAAAGGCUGUGUCUAUGCUCAGUAUUCUGACCAACACCUAAAUAGAUUAGAAGCCUAACACU